GGGACCGUAGCUCAGUCGGUUAGAGCAGAGGACUCAUAAUCCUUUGGUCCAGGGUUCGAGCCCCUGCGGUCCCA
This 74-nucleotide transfer RNA is filed under the name Azonexus fungiphilus. RNAcentral's name for it is "tRNA-Met". It matches the Rfam family "tRNA". From Rfam's summary of the family: Transfer RNA (tRNA) molecules are approximately 80 nucleotides in length. The record is from RNAcentral. Lineage: Bacteria; Pseudomonadati; Pseudomonadota; Betaproteobacteria; Rhodocyclales; Azonexaceae.